GAUGAACGCUGGCGGCGUGCCUAAUACAUGCAAGUCGAGCGAACAGAGGAGAAGCUUGCGUCUCUGAUGUUAGCGGCGGACGGGUGAGUAACACGUGGGUAACCUACCUAUAAGACUGGGAUAACUCCGGGAAACCGGGGCUAAUACCGGAUAAUAUUUUGAACCGCAUGGUUCAAUAGUGAAAGACGGUUUCGGCUGUCACUUAUAGAUGGACCCGCGCCGUAUUAGCUAGUUGGUAAGGUAACGGCUUACCAAGGCGACGGUACGUAGCCGACCUGGAAGGGUGAUCGGCCACACUGGAACUGAGACACGGUCCAGACUCCUACGGGAGGCAGCAGUAGGGAAUCUUCCGCAAUGGGCGACAGCCUGACGGAGCAACGCCGCGUGAGUGAUGAAGGUCUUCGGAUCGUAAAACUCUGUUGUUAGGGAAGAACAAAUUUGUUAGUAACUGAACAAGUCUUGACGGUACCUAACCAGAAAGCCACGGCUAACUACGUGCCAGCCGCCGCUGUAA
RNAcentral lists this ribosomal RNA (514 nucleotides) under uncultured bacterium. RNAcentral's name for it is "partial 16S ribosomal RNA". It matches the Rfam family "Bacterial small subunit ribosomal RNA", at positions 28 to 523 of the family's 1533-position model. The record is from RNAcentral.